UGGGGAAUAUUGCACAAUGGGCGCAAGCCUGAUGCAGCCAUGCCGCGUGUGUGAAGAAGGCCUUCGGGUUGUAAAGCACUUUUGUCCGGAAAGAAAUCCUUGGCUCUAAUACAGUCGGGGGAUGACGGUACCGGAAGAAUAAGCACCGGCUAACUACGUGCCAGCAGCCGCGGUAAUACGUAGGGUGCAAGCGUUAAUCGGAAUUACUGGGCGUAAAGCGUGCGCAGGCGGUUUGCUAAGACCGAUGUGAAAUCCCCGGGCUCAACCUGGGAACUGCAUUGGUGACUGGCAGGCUAGAGUAUGGCAGAGGGGGGUAGAAUUCCACGUGUAGCAGUGAAAUGCGUAGAGAUGUGGAGGAAUACCGAUGGCGAAGGCAGCCCCCUGGGCCAAUACUGACGCUCAUGCACGAAAGCGUGGGGAGCAAAACAGGAUUAGAUACCCUGGUAGUCCACGCCCUAAACGAUGUCAAUUAGUUGUUGGGGAUUCAUUUCCUUAGUAACGUAGCUAACGCGUGAAGUUGACCGCCUGGGGAGUACGGUCGCAAGAUUAAAAACUUAAAGGAAUUGACGGGGUCAUAGCUGUUUCCU
RNAcentral lists this ribosomal RNA (587 nucleotides) under uncultured bacterium. RNAcentral's name for it is "partial 16S ribosomal RNA". It matches the Rfam family "Bacterial small subunit ribosomal RNA", at positions 355 to 1375 of the family's 1533-position model. The record is from RNAcentral.